GAUGAACGCUAGCGACAGGCCUAACACAUGCAAGUCGAGGGGCAUCGGGACGUAGCAAUACGUUGCCGGCGACCGGCGGAUGGGUGAGUAACGCGUAUGCAACCUACCCGUAGCAGGGGGAUAGCCCGUUGAAAGACGGAUUAAUACCCCGUAACACAGGGGCUCCGCAUGGAGAUUAUUGUUAAAGGGUCAUUUCUUUUAGAGGUGGUCCGGCUGCGGAUGGGCAUGCGUUCCAUUAGGUAGUUGGUGUAGGUAACGGCUCACCAAGCCGACGAUGGAUAGGGGAACUGAGAGGUUGGUCCCCCACACUGGUAACUGAGACACGGACCCAGGACUCCUACGGGAGGCAGGCAGUGAGGAAUCUUGGUCAAUGGACGCAAGUCUGAACCAGCCAUGUCGCGUGAAGGAGGACGGCCCUAAGGGUUGUAAACUUCUUUUGCAGUGGAAUAAAGUUUGCCACGUGUUGGCGAUUUGCAAGUACGCUGCGAAUAAGGAUCGGCUAAUCCGUGCCAGC
Molecule: ribosomal RNA, 514 nt
Filed under: uncultured bacterium
Lineage: Bacteria
Description: bacterial SSU rRNA
Rfam family: Bacterial small subunit ribosomal RNA
Source: RNAcentral